Molecule: ribosomal RNA, 429 nt
Filed under: uncultured Archangiaceae bacterium
Lineage: Bacteria; Pseudomonadati; Myxococcota; Myxococcia; Myxococcales; Archangiaceae
Description: bacterial SSU rRNA
Rfam family: Bacterial small subunit ribosomal RNA
Source: RNAcentral
UGGGGAAUUUUGCGCAAUGGGCGAAAGCCUGACGCAGCAACGCCGCGUGUGUGAUGAAGGUCUUCGGAUUGUAAAGCACUUUCGACCGGGACGAAAUGCUCUGGCCUAACACGCCAGGGAGCCGACGGUACCGGGAGAAGAAGCACCGGCUAACUCUGUGCCAGCAGCCGCGGUAAUACAGAGGGUGCAAGCGUUGUUCGGAAUUAUUGGGCGUAAAGCGCGUGUAGGCGGCUUUGCAAGUCGGGUGUGAAAGCCCUCGGCUCAACCGAGGAAGUGCGCCCGAAACUGCAGAGCUCGAGUGCCGGAGAGGGUGGCGGAAUUCCCCAAGUAGAGGUGAAAUUCGUAGAUAUGGGGAGGAACACCGGUGGCGAAGGCGGCCACCUGGACGGUGACUGACGCUGAGACGCGAAAGCGUGGGGAGCAAACAGG